Topomyia yanbarensis is the source of this 1149-nucleotide long non-coding RNA. RefSeq lists it as uncharacterized. Lineage: Eukaryota; Metazoa; Arthropoda; Insecta; Diptera; Culicidae. The transcript has 3 exons. The record is from RefSeq and is a predicted model, not a curated record.
GAGUUUUUUUCUAGUAGUGGCGUAGUACCCAUAAAAUGGGUACAAAUUUCCUACCACAUUUGAUUCGCUAGUUGGACCAACUGACAAAUGUCAAAAACGCUCCUAAGAAGACAUUAGCAGUGUAAAAAUAUAGAUUUUUAAAUAGAUUUUCAAAGUGAAUUUGAUAUGAGAUUUUGACAUUCAGAUGCUUUUUAAUUGGACAGUGGUCCAACUAGCGGAGGUCCAACUAAAAGCGGUCCAGUUAGAAAAUGUCCAACCAGCGAAUCACGACUGUAUCACAAUACUUUCCAAAAUUCAUUCAUCAGAUUGCAACAUUUUACAAGUCUUCUGCUCGAUUGGAAUGAAAUUGACAGGUCUCGUGCCCGAUUGGAAUGACACUGCCAUAUAAAUGGGAAACAAACGAUUGACAUGUCGAGUCUAUCCAGAAGGAUUCAGCGUCGUUAUCUCGAGAGAGUUCCGUACAGAGAAAUGCGUAACACUGCAUAAAAUCAGAGUGUAUGUAUGCACUCAGCACAAAAUGAGGCCAGAGAACCCGGACAGAACGGAAAAUCGGAAUUGAUAGUCGAAACAUUGUAUUUACAACAGUUAUCGUUAUUAACAACAAUUUUUAUAGUAACAUCAAUUUUUUGGUUUCAGUACUUUCUAAGAUUUUACACAAAAAUGACGCUUUUCGUUUUUUUGUGUAUUUUAUUUGUUAUUAUUUUCAAACGCACUUUUUUCACCAUGGCGUCCAAUUUGACCGCUUUGUGGCAUGUUUUCCAGUUUUUAAAACUUUGGUAUGGAGAUAUUAUAUAUACUGUGAUGAAGAGAAAUCUACCCUAAUAAAAAAUAUUAUACACGAACUUUAACCUAUAUAGUCCACCGAUUCCACAUAUUGCUUGGAUGAUACCCUGAACAGGCCGGCAAUCGUGAACUGAUCCGGGCCAGUUUUUGGCCGCGUGGUCGAUCAUCAAAAACAGACAAAAGCGAGGAUAAAAGGCAACAAAUGUCAGGAGAAUGUUCGGCGGAACAUGAAAAGUUGAAUUGGCAAGAUUUUGCUCUAUUACCGGACAAUGUUGCGCGUUUUCAUUUCGAGUUCCCAUAUGCGAUGUGCUUCCGGAAUCGAUUAUAACGUGGAGAAGAGAUAUUGUGUAAGCAUCUAUAUACUGC